Gorilla gorilla gorilla (western lowland gorilla) is the source of this 388-nucleotide long non-coding RNA. RefSeq lists it as uncharacterized. NCBI's taxonomy places the organism in Eukaryota, Metazoa, Chordata, Mammalia, Primates, Hominidae. The transcript has 3 exons. The record is from RefSeq and is a predicted model, not a curated record.
CCCCUCAGCUCUGCCCCCUGUAGCCCUUUGUUCAUGGUUUUUGGGGUCAGUCACCCUCAGUGCCUGCCCAGCAGCCACAUGCAUGUCUCUGCCCAUAGAGCCCCAUUGUGUACACCAGGCACUGAGCCCAGCACCAAGGGAGAAAUCAUCGCCAUCCUCUUUUCCUUCCGGUGAUUGGUCCAGGGGGUCACUUUCCCUGGGGGUAGUCAGCUGUCGUGUCACGAGGACAUUCAAACAGCCCUGUGGGAAGACCCAUGUGACAAGGAGCUGAGGCCUCCAGCAAACAGCCAGAUGAAGACCAUGAGGCACAGAGAGGUUUGUUAACUUGCCCAAGGUCACACAGCUGGUAAGUGGGACAAUCCUGGAGGAACAUUGAGUCCAGAAAGGA